Oreochromis aureus is the source of this 204-nucleotide long non-coding RNA. RefSeq lists it as uncharacterized. The transcript is spliced from 3 exons. The record is from RefSeq and is a predicted model, not a curated record. NCBI's taxonomy places the organism in Eukaryota, Metazoa, Chordata, Actinopteri, Cichliformes, Cichlidae.
CUCUUUCACCCAAACCAGGAAGGACUGGAGCAGAGGCCAGGCACGAGCCACGGCAGCCAGGAACUUGUCCAUCGCCACGUGGACCUCGGGAGUGAAAUCGUUGGGAAACACGGUGGCCAGGACCACGAGGAGUACCUUGAAGUUAGCAGGGUCCACUCUCAGAGUGAAGGCGUGCAGCUCACUGAGGCUCAGAAGACCACCGGU